CGGGAGGUUGAUUGAGCACAUUCAUUUUCAGUAACAGCCUUGGGAACAGUUACAAGAGUUGAAGGAGCCAAUUGAAAGUUGGGGAAGAUUAGGUGUCCAUGACGAUAUUGGGUUCACACAUCCUGCUCUUAUAAUAAGUACCACGGGAUCUUAAAGUGACCACAGAGAGUCAGGACCACUGUUUGACCUUCAAAUACGAAAUACUGCAGCCUACACAGAGCAAUAUCUCCAUUCACUGCUGCGGGACAUUUCAAUCUCUAUAGACCCCUGGCCCUCCAACAGCACUUCCAGCAGCAUCUGGUUUCCCAUUAGAGGCAACGAGCUGGACCCGAGCUGGACCCGACCUGCUUUGCUUCAGAGCCGAACCUGCAGUGGGAUGAAGGGCGUUCUGCUGCUGGCAGGAUAGUACUUCUUGUGCAUGACGAAGGUACGUGUGUGUAUGUAGGACAGAGGUCAUCCAAUAUCUCUGUCUGAUGCAUUGGUAAAUUAUACAGGCACAACACUCACUUGUCCUCCACAAAACUGGCUCUGUUUGUGUGUGUGUGUGUGUGUGUACGCAUGCGUGUGACAGACAAACAAUGUUUUUGUUCUGUACACCCUGUGUCUAUGACAUGAGAACGGCAUGGAGAUUUGUAUUGGUCUAAUAGUAGGCCUAUUCAGAAGAGCUGGGUUAUGUUCAGUAGUUAAUAGGGCACACAGUAUGGAAAUAUUCUUCAUUGAAAAAUGUUAACUUAUCAGGUCCAGGUAAAGCCUACCAGUUUAAUAAUGUCUCUAUAUUGAACACCACCCUGUUCAUUGAGCAUUGAAGUAUAAAACUGACGGUUGGACACAAGGGGACGGCCGCAGCGCUUCCUAGGGCUAACUAACUCCUCUAGUCCGGAAACAGUUGUUCCAUGCUAGGGAAUAUUAUCAUCAGGCCACUGUCUCUCGGAUGUAAGGCCUAAUGAGUCUGUUUUAAUUCAUAUCUGACCGUAGCGCUGAUCUCAUUAAACCUCCACAGUAGGCCCGGCUCAUCAGCUGAUUGCCUCCUCCACAAGUCAUUUCCUCUGGUUAGGAAUGGAAAAGCACCACAGCUGCUGAUGAAACCACAUGCUGUACUAGGCCCGUGUAAAGGUUUCAUUCCUUUCUCUGUGAUUUUGAUGAAAACGUUAUUUUUUGUGUGGUGGGAGACUGGGAAGGGCGAGUAAUAACAUAGGUACUGGGAAUGAUGAGUGGCAGAGUAGCAUUCUAACAGGCUGGUGGUAAUGAGAUAGGGGUCAGAGCUGGUGGAGGCUCGGUACUGGUGGUGUGGAUUACCUUGACAUGCUAUUCUCUGAGCCUACCACUACCCAGGCUGAUGGGCUGAGUGGUGGGGGAUGGGUUGGGAGGAAUGGGAUUUUUUUUUCUCUCUCUCACUCUGGUAAAUCACUUCAAUUUAAGGGGGAUUUAUUUGCAUGGGAAACAUUUGUUUACAUUGCCAAAGCAACUGGAAAAUAAGAAAGAUAAAAUCUAAAUAAUGAAUAGCAAAAGUUUUUCAGCGAUACCAUGUGAACGUUAAACCUGUUUCAAAAUCAUGAAGACAUUGAAAAUGUUAUGUUAAAUAAAGAGUUAAUGUUUGAAUGGUAACAGAUAGUAGAUAGAAAGAAAAAUAUUUUGCCUUUUCCGACAGGUCACGCUUCUUGCUGCUGUUCCCUGUGUUAUAUUAUGUUUUACUAUUCUACUGCUACGUUAAUGCCAGAACUAUUGCAAGGGAAUCAUUUAUUCCACAAGUUAUCUGUUUUUGGCCAAAAGAUCUUUUACCUACAGCAUUUUUUAAAUAGCAUGUCAUUUGUUAGGUUACAUUGAUUAUUGCUCUGUUCGAGUAAGUGGUCAUGUUAGUGUGGUCAGAAAGUGGUUGACUGAGCGACUCUGUCACGUCCUCCCUCCCUUGUGGUGCCUUGUUGUGCUUCUUGUUGUGUUUCUUCGGGGCAAUGACUUAGGGGGCGUGGCGUCACUCCUUGGAGUAGAGGUGGCACCAGCUGUCCCCAAUUGGCGACCACUCACCUGUUCCUGCUUGGCUCAUCCCCGGCUGUAUUUCUGAGGAGCCCUGAUGACCAGUCCAUGCCAGAUGGUUGAUCCACAGUCGAUUCCACCAGAACGACCACCGCCAGCUUGUGUACCGACCUCCUGCCCGUCUAUGACUACUCUGCCUGCUACCUGCCUGUACCUCUGCCACCAGCCUGUGUACCAACCUCCUGCCUGCCCAUGACUACUCUGCACAUGCUCCUGCCCUCGAACCAACCCUACUACUUCCCCAGCCUUUCCUGCUCUCAAUAAAUAUGCAUUGUUGCACCUCA
Esox lucius (northern pike) is the source of this 2315-nucleotide long non-coding RNA. RefSeq lists it as uncharacterized. NCBI's taxonomy places the organism in Eukaryota, Metazoa, Chordata, Actinopteri, Esociformes, Esocidae. The transcript has 2 exons. The record is from RefSeq and is a predicted model, not a curated record.